Monodelphis domestica (gray short-tailed opossum) is the source of this 1608-nucleotide long non-coding RNA. RefSeq lists it as uncharacterized. The record is from RefSeq and is a predicted model, not a curated record. Lineage: Eukaryota; Metazoa; Chordata; Mammalia; Didelphimorphia; Didelphidae.
GAGCUCCACCUGCCGGAAGUGGAGCUUUCCUUCCGGUCCUGCUUCCCCAAGCCUGGCUGCAACCGCCCGCCCCUCGGGCCCCUCACGGCCAUGUUUGGGAGUAACUUUUUCCAGAGGCCCCCCCAAAACGGAAGGAGGUGGCCUUCCCUCCCCAGUAUCCCGUCCCGAGGACCAAGGGGAGCCCGGGCUGGACCUGGGACAAAGCACUGCACUACCCCAGGCCGCUCUCCCAACUGAUGGACCAGCAGACCACCGGCCCCUCCCGGAAGUGAUGUCGAGAGCGGGCGCUGCCCCCAAGCCCUUCAGGUCCCAGCAGAAGCUCCCAGUCAGGAAAGAAGAGGAGCGGAAGUGGGCAUGGCCCCGAGCUUGCCGGCGGAUGGGGGGCAGGGCGGGGGCGGGCACAAGGGCUGGGGAGGAGAGGGAGGGCUGGUCCGGGAUACCCAGCACGCCAGAGUCCAGUGGGUUGCUUCCCUAGAUCAGAGCCCAGACUUUUCAGGACGAACAUCCCAGGGAGCCUAGUGGAAGUGGAAGGUAAAGGAUGCCUUCCCUCCCCCUGCCCCGCCCCCCACCCCUCUGGCUCCCGGCUCUUCCAGAGGCCUAACCCGCUCCCGAAUCCCCCCAGGGCAGCGUCACCAUCUGGACCCUCUUCUCUAGUAUUUCCAGGGCUCCAAACCGGUCCAAGAUACUAGGGAGGCUGGGACUGACUGUCAGGCCAGCUGUGUAUGGCCAGGAGGCCCGGCGUGACUCCUCCCCCCCUGCCCUUGCCAGGCUGCCUCACCAUCGGAAACUUCAAGUUCAGGGCCCUCCAGGUCCCAGUCGUGCAGGGCUCCAGUCCAGACCUUGUCCUCCUGGCUGGGCCUCCACGAGGAUUCCAAGAGCUUGUCUUACUCAGGGCCGCUGCAGAGCUCCAACUUCGAAUCUCAAGCGAAUAGUUCCAUGCUCAGUGACCCAUUAGAGCCCCAAGAGUGCCCCCAAGAGUACCCCCAAGACCAGAGGUAUCCCCAAGAGCAGCAGCAUCCCAAAGAGCACCCCCAAGAGUGGCACCAUUCCAAAAAGCUGCAGCUGAAGAAGGCCAUCCAGAAGCCACCAUGCUGGGUCACCAAAGUGUAUAGAUAGUUCCACAAGUUCUGCCCCUCUAGCAAGGGCUCCAAGAAACGCCCUGCCCAGGCCACCUAGCCCACUGCUGGCUCAUGCACACAUCGUACCCCAGGCACAAACACCCCAAAAAGUCUUCCUCCCCCGCCCCUGCCAAGGCCUCCCCUGAGCAGCCUACUGGGAGCCCAAAGAGCAAGAGCUCCACCUCACCCUUCUCCUUACUGCCCAGCAGUGCCUCCUCCCUCAAGUGGGGGAAGCCUCCUUCCUCCCCUUCCACCCAGGCCACACCCUACUCCGGCCUCCUGAAGCCUGGCCAGCCUGGAGAGCUUUCUGCCCAUUGGCUUUAGACCUCCCCGAAGGACUGCCUCCAGGAGUGCUGGUUCCUUGGUGUUGGGGAAAUGCCUCCUCUCCCUGUCAGCUCACUGGAAGAAAAGAAUCAGACACUCGUUUGGAACUGCUGAGGGGCUCGUGGCCCCUGGAUUCACCUAUUAAAGGGCUGUGAAUGAGAACAAA